Molecule: RNase P RNA, 523 nt
Filed under: Chloroflexota bacterium
Lineage: Bacteria; Bacillati; Chloroflexota
Description: Chloroflexi bacterium (sediment metagenome) RNase P RNA component class A
Rfam family: Bacterial RNase P class A
About the family: Ribonuclease P (RNase P) is a ubiquitous endoribonuclease, found in archaea, bacteria and eukarya as well as chloroplasts and mitochondria. Its best characterised activity is the generation of mature 5'-ends of tRNAs by cleaving the 5'-leader elements of precursor-tRNAs.
Source: RNAcentral
CAGGUCGGCCAGGCGGUCGCGCUCCGCGCCUUGCGCGGGGUGAGGAAAGUCCGGGCUCCACAGGGCACGGUGCUGGGUAACACCCAGGCGGGGUAACCCGACGGAUAGGGCCACAGAAACAGACCGCCGGGUUGGGAGGGGGUAGGCAGGUAAAUGGGUGAAUGGGGAGUGGGUGGGGUGUGCGCAUCCUGCCGAUUCUCCACAUACCAGAUACCAGUCUACCAGUAUACCAGAUACCAGUCUACCAGUAUACCAGAUACCAGUCCACCAUCCUCCCGACCCGGUAAGGGUGAAAAGGUGGUGUAAGAGACCACCGGCGUCCGGGGUGACCCGGGCGGCCAGGCAACCCCCACCGGGAGCAAGGCCAAGCAGGGGCGACGUAGGGGCAACCCUUGCGGUUGCCCCUACACGGGGCGGCCCGUCCCGUCCGAGCCCCGGGUGGGCCGCAUGAGGCGGCGGGCAACCGCCGUCCCAGAGAGAUGACCGCCCACGACAGAACCCGGCUUAUCGGCCGGCCUGGAGC